This 271-nucleotide long non-coding RNA is filed under the name Mytilus galloprovincialis (Mediterranean mussel). The record is from RNAcentral. Lineage: Eukaryota; Metazoa; Mollusca; Bivalvia; Mytilida; Mytilidae.
GAAGUGGCGGAGUUUAACAUGGUAGUGGCACCAACCCAACCCAUAAACUGGGCACAUAAAGGAAGUGGCGGAGUUUAACAUGGUAGUGGCACCAACCCAUAAACUGGGACAGUGGUGCAACAUAACAACACAAGAAUAUACUAUGAAAUCUGUUAACUCAUCAGUUCGAUACAAAGCACAAAAACAACUAAAAACACAAAGAACAGAUCUGAGGGUAUACUUAAAGUUACCGAAAGCUAACCCUAAGCAGAUUACAACCAUUAAAAAAAAU